UACGGGGGGGGCAAGCGUUGUUCGGAAUUACUGGGCGUAAAGGGCUCGUAGGCGGCCAACUAAGUCGGAUGUGAAAUCCCCAGGCUUAACCUGGGAACUGCAUCCGAUACUGGAUGGCUUGAAUCCGGGAGAGGGAUGCAGAAUUCCAGGUGUAGCGGUGAAAUGCGUAGAUAUUGGGAAGAACACCGGUGGCGAAGGCGGCGACCUGGUCCGAUACUGACGCUGAGGCGCGAAAGCGUGGGGAGCGAACAGG
RNAcentral lists this ribosomal RNA (253 nucleotides) under uncultured bacterium. Its description in RNAcentral is "partial 16S ribosomal RNA". It matches the Rfam family "Bacterial small subunit ribosomal RNA", at positions 524 to 776 of the family's 1533-position model. The record is from RNAcentral.